GACAGAGGGUGCAAGCGUUGUUCGGAAUCAUUGGGCGUAAAGCGCACGUAGGCGGUCGCGUAAGUCGGAUGUGAAAGCCCUGGGCUUAACCCAGGAAGUGCAUCCGAUACUGCGCGACUUGAGUCCCGGAGAGGGUGGUGGAAUUCCUGGUGUAGUGGUGAAAUGCGUAGAGAUCCGGAGGAACCCCAGAGGCGAAGGCGGCGCCCUGGCUCGCAACUGACGCUCAGACACGACAGCAUGGGGAGCGAACGGG
Molecule: ribosomal RNA, 253 nt
Filed under: uncultured bacterium
Lineage: Bacteria
Description: partial 16S ribosomal RNA
Rfam family: Bacterial small subunit ribosomal RNA
Source: RNAcentral